Molecule: ribosomal RNA, 958 nt
Filed under: Oryza latifolia
Lineage: Eukaryota; Viridiplantae; Streptophyta; Magnoliopsida; Poales; Poaceae
Description: eukaryotic LSU rRNA
Rfam family: Eukaryotic large subunit ribosomal RNA
Source: RNAcentral
CCCCAGGUCAGGCGGGACUACCCGCUGAGUUUAAACAUAUAAAUAAGAGGAGGAGAAGAAACUUACGAGGAUUCCCCUAGUAACGGCGAGUGAACCGGGAGAUGCCCAGCUUGAGAAUCGAGCGGCCGCACCACUCGAAUUGUAGUCUGGAGAGGCGUCCUCAACGACGGACUGGGCCCAAGUCCCCUGGAAAGAGGCACCUAGGAGGGGGAGAGCCCUGUCUGGCCCAGACCCUAUUGCCCCAUGAGGCACCAUCAACGAGUCGGGUUAUUUGGGAAUGCAGCCCAAAUCAGGUGGUAAACUCCGUCCAAGGCUAAAUACAGGUGAGAGACCAAUAGCGAACAAGUACAGCGAGGGAAAGAUAAAAAGGACUUUGAAAAGAGAGUCAAAGAGUGCUUGAAAUUGCCGGGAGGGAAUCAGAUGGGAGCCGGUGAUGCGCCCCGGUUGUAUGCGGAACGGCUUCGGCUGGUCUGCCCGUCAGCUCGAGGUGUGGACCAUUGUCGGCCACGCCGGCGGCCAAAGCCCGGGGGCAACGUGCCCCCGGCAGCCAUCGUCAUCAUAGCCGGUCAACGUGUGCCUCUAGCGUGCCCCUCGGGGCGCUACGUCGCAACAGCCUACGGGCUCCCCAUCUGACCUAUGUUGAAAGAUGGACCAUGGAGUCUGACAUGCGUGUGAGUCGACGGGUCCUAGAACCUGGGAUGCAUAAGGAAGCUGAUGAGCAGGAGGCCCUCGUGGGCCGCACUGCUGGCUGACCCUAAUCUUUUGUGAAGGGUUUGAGUUGGAGCACGCCUAUCGAGACCCAAAAGAUCGUGAACUAUGCCUGAGCAGGGCGAAGCUAGAGGAAACUAUAGUAGAGGCUUGAAGCGAUAUUGACAUGCAAAUCGUUCGUCUGACUUGGGUAUAGGGGCGAAAGACUAAUCAAACCAUCUAGUAGCUGGUUCCCUCCGAAGUUUCCCUC